GAUGAACGCUGGCGGCGUGCCUAAUACAUGCAAGUCGAGCGAACAGACGAGAGUGCUUGCACUCUCUGACGUUAGCGGCGGACGGGUGAGUCACACGUUGGUAACCUACCUAUUAGACUGGGAUAACUGCGGGAAACCCGAACUCCUACCAGAUAAUCUUUAGCUUCGCAUGAAGCAGUAGUGAAAGACGGUUCUGCUGUCACUUAUCGAUUUACCCGCGGGGUAUUAGCUAGUUGGCCAGGUAACGGCUCACCAAGUCAGCGAGACAUAACCGACGUGAGAGGGUGAUAGGCGGCACGGGAAGUGAGACACGGACAAGAGGACUGAGGGAGGCAGCAGUAGGGAAUCUUACGCAGUGGACGAAAGUAUGGCGGAGCAAUGCCGCGUGAGUGAAGAAGGUUUUCGGAUCGUAAAACCCUGUUGUAAGGGAAGAACAAGUACGUUCGUAAAUGAACGUAGAUUGACGGUACUUUACAAGAAAGCAACGGCUAACUACGUG
This 499-nucleotide ribosomal RNA is filed under the name uncultured bacterium. RNAcentral describes it as "partial 16S ribosomal RNA". It matches the Rfam family "Bacterial small subunit ribosomal RNA", at positions 28 to 507 of the family's 1533-position model. The record is from RNAcentral.